GUGUCAGCCGCCGCGGUAAUACGAAGGGGGCUAGCGUUGCUCGGAAUCACUGGGCGUAAAGCGCACGUAGGCGGAUUCCUAAGUCGGGGGUGAAAUCCUGGAGCUUAACUCCAGAACUGCCUUCGAUACUGGGAAUCUUGAGUCCGGAAGAGGUGAGUGGAACUGCGAGUGUAGAGGUGAAAUUCGUAGAUAUUCGCAAGAACACCAGUGGCGAAGGCGGCUCACUGGUCCGGUACUGACGCUGAGGUGCGAAAGCGUGGGGAGCAAACAGGAUUAGAAACCCGCGUAGUCC
Molecule: ribosomal RNA, 292 nt
Filed under: uncultured bacterium
Lineage: Bacteria
Description: partial 16S ribosomal RNA
Rfam family: Bacterial small subunit ribosomal RNA
Source: RNAcentral